UUCUGUCGUUCCACGCCUUGCUCUUAUGGAACGGGGUCACAUGAUCUCAGGCUGCAGAUUCACCAAGGCAAUGAACGCUGCACAAGUGGGAAAUUGCGAUAAUGGAAGCUUUUGCUGACAAAAUUCCAGCUGGUGUGGAUAUUGAAAUAUUAAUGUCGAUGCACAUAUCUCUUGUUGUGCCAUCUUUGGCUUAUGGUCAGAUUGGCAUUGGUGGAGCAAUUUUGCAACAGCUCUUUUAGAGUAAACCAGUGUAUGUGCGACCAAACAAACAGAUCAUAAUUGAGCAUCAGGAAAAUGUGUGCACAAGAAAAAGUCAUGAUGAUUUACCUGAUUUGUUUGUGGAUGCGCAAAUGUCAAUAAGCUCUACCUAUGCCAAUCCAGAGCCAUUGGCUUUGUCACAAGAUACAGCACAAUCUCCAUUUUCACUGCCUCAAGAGACAGCACAAGCUUCUUUACAAUCAACCACUGAUCUUCAUGCAGUUUGUGUACAGGAUGCAUCAGCACAAUCUCCAUUUUCAUUGCCUCUAGAGACAGCACAAACUUCUUUACAGUCAACCACUGAUCUUCAUGCAGUUUGUGUACAGGAUACAUCAGUGCAGGUGGAACUGAGAAAACGCCACACAUUCGACACAAUCUUCAAAAACCAGAAUGGCAAGCAAUUGCCAGAGUUUUAGUGUUUGGAUAUCAAAAAGCCAAAUAUUUUCCUGUGCAGCUGUCACAAUUCUUCAUUCUUUGCUGCUUGUUUGGUGAAGAAAGUUUGGGCAAAGAAUCUCUACUGCAAGCAUAUUGUUGUUACGUGCCAGCAGACGAUGGAGAGAUUCUAGAUUAAGUGCAGAGUUGUGAAUUAGAUCGUAAUGAUGAAGACCUAUUGCACUUUUUGUCAUCCAAUAAGUGCUAUAAAGCCCCCACCAAGGAGAACAUUGCCUCCAUAGUACUUGAACUUGCACACCUGGAACUCAUUCAAAAGACCAGAUACAUCACAAAUUGUUGGUCGCCAAUUUUAAAAACUCUUCAGAAUGAUGCAAACUCCAUCUUUUCAACACCUCAGCAAGUUGAACAGUUAUAUGAAGAAAAACACCCAACAGCCAAAAAGGUUAACAAGCUUUUUAUUGCUAGUGUGAGUACUGAUGCUGAACGGCAGAGCUUGGAUUUCCUAAAAAGAUAUGUGAAAUCAUUGGAAAAAAAGGCUAUUGAAAGAUUUCUGCAUUUUUUAACUGGUAGUGAUGUAUUGACAUGUGAUUUAAUUGAAAUUACAUUAACAAACCUUCAUGGCUUUUCACGACGGCCUAUUGCCCACACAUUUGGACCAACCCUAGAGCUACCAACAUCCUUUGAAAGCUUUGCAGAACUGGCAGAAGAGUUUACAAGCAUAAUGAGAGAAAGCACAUCAUGGUCAUGUGACAUUGUGUAAAGUUGUUUUUUAUUAUUUUUCAAAAUAUCAAAUAGUUUUGUUUAAACGGAAAGAGAACUGACAGUUUUUAAAAAAAUGUUAAAUUCUUGAUCUAUGAGCUUAUUUUUGGCUUGCAUUAUUUUACUAAAAUACAUUUGUUUCAUUUGUUAAA
Xenia sp. Carnegie-2017 is the source of this 1562-nucleotide long non-coding RNA. RefSeq lists it as uncharacterized. The record is from RefSeq and is a predicted model, not a curated record. NCBI's taxonomy places the organism in Eukaryota, Metazoa, Cnidaria, Anthozoa, Malacalcyonacea, Xeniidae. The transcript is spliced from 5 exons.